This 253-nucleotide ribosomal RNA is filed under the name uncultured bacterium. RNAcentral's name for it is "partial 16S ribosomal RNA". It matches the Rfam family "Bacterial small subunit ribosomal RNA", at positions 524 to 776 of the family's 1533-position model. The record is from RNAcentral.
UACGUAGGGUGCAAGCGUUAAUCGGAAUUACUGGGCGUAAAGCGUGCGCAGGCGGUCCUGCAAGUCAGGCGUGAAAUCCCCGGGCUUAACCUGGGAAUGGCACUUGAAACUACGGGACUGGAGUAUGGCAGAGGGAGGUGGAAUUCCACGUGUAGCGGUGAAAUGCGUAGAGAUGUGGAGGAACACCGAUGGCGAAGGCAGCCUCCUGGGCCAAUACUGACGCUCAUGCACGAAAGCGUGGGGAGCAAACAGG